This 993-nucleotide ribosomal RNA is filed under the name Triticum aestivum (bread wheat). Its description in RNAcentral is "partial small subunit ribosomal RNA". The record is from RNAcentral. Lineage: Eukaryota; Viridiplantae; Streptophyta; Magnoliopsida; Poales; Poaceae.
AUGUGCGCCCGCGCCUGCGGCACAUCGCACCUGCGUCUCCGCGGCCGGCUCGCGCUUCUGUCCUGCGCCGGCGUCCCGCGACUCGCUCGCCGGCUUGGCGCCCACCGGCUCGCGCGUGCAUCCCGGCCACUCCUGCGUCCCGACCUCGUCCGACCCCAUGCCGGUUGGCCGGGUCGCCGCCUUGCGCGCCGGGUCCCCGCACCCGGCCGUCUCCGCCUCGUCCUCGGCUCCAGCAGCGCAGCGCCGGGUCCGGCCCCGUCCGCUAGCCGGCUUCCGCGCGUCCCGGCCAGCUUCUGUGCCCCUGGUCCGGGCUCCCGCUCGCACGCCCCGGCAGGCCGGCUUCCGCCCGCGCCGCCCCGCCACUCGGCUCCGUCUCCCCCGGUUGGCUCCGCCCCCGCACCCGUCCUCGCGUGCCUCCGCGUACGACCACGAUCGUGUGCCGGCUCCGCCCUCCCUGCGCGCCCGCCGGCUCCGCUCCGGCCGGCUCCGCCCUCGCUCCGCAACCCAGCGCGUUGUACGCCCGUGCCGGCAGCAACCCGCGCCCGCACCCUGCUCCGCCUCGACCCCGAGCCUUGUCUCUUCCGGCUCCCCCGCCAUCUGCGCUCCCGGUCCGCACCGGCUCUGGGUCGCCACCCCGAGCCCGGCCGCGUCCGACCUCGCGCCCAUCCGACCCGGCUGGCUGCGCUGGCCGGCCUCCUGUCGCGUCGCCCGCUCCUCUAUGCGCACCCGCACUGCCGGCUCCUCCUUGCGCGCCCUCGCCGGCUCCACCCGCAACCUGGCCUGCCGGCUCCGCCCUCGCCGGCUCCCCCGCAACCCAGCCUGCCGGCUUCGCCCGCGCCGGCUCCCACGCUGGCUGGCUCCCCCGCAACCCGGCCUGCCGGCUUCCGCCGCAACCCGGCCGCCGGCUUCCGCCGCGUCCUGCCCCUAUCGGCUCCUCGCACUUCGGCUUCGCGUGCCCGCGCUGCUCAGCCGCCACGGGCAGAUGCUGCGUGA